Non-coding RNA from Gemmatimonadetes bacterium SCN 70-22, 363 nucleotides. Lineage: Bacteria; Pseudomonadati; Gemmatimonadota. The record is from Rfam.
GGGGGCGACCUGGAUUCGACGGGGUCGGUGACGCCGUGGCUGCGUGCCCAGCUGCUGAGCGCUGGUAAAACACUCGGCAAAAUCACAACUGCCAACACUGAACUGGCCCUCGCCGCGUAACUCCUAGGAGUUGCUGCAGGCGUUGCUCCUGAUGAAGCCCGCCCGAGGCGGCGUCCGGAGUAUCGCAAUAUCGGGAUAGUCCGGCGUCGCGCCUCUUGGCGCCGGGCGAAACUCCAAGGAGGCUCGUGCAGCAAUGGGCCGCUCACCGGCCAGUGGCUGCAGACCCCAAUCGGUGAGCUACGCACGUAGAUGCUGUGGUUGAUCUUAUCUCGGACCGGGGUUCGACUCCCCGCGCCUCCACUC